UGGUGGGUAGUUUGACUGGGGCGGUCUCCUCCUAAAGAGUAACGGAGGAGCACGAAGGUUGGCUAAUCCUGGUCGGACAUCAGGAGGUUAGUGCAAUGGCAUAAGCCAGCUUGACUGCGAGCGUGACGGCGCGAGCAGGUGCGAAAGCAGGUCAUAGUGAUCCGGUGGUUCUGAAUGGAAGGGCCAUCGCUCAACGGAUAAAAGGUACUCCGGGGAUAACAGGCUGAUACCGCCCAAGAGUUCAUAUCGACGGCGGUGUUUGGCACCUCGAUGUCGGCUCAUCACAUCCUGGGGCUGAAGUAGGUCCCAAGGGUAUGGCUGUUCGCCAUUUAAAGUGGUACGCGAGCUGGGUUUAGAACGUCGUGAGACAGUUCGGUCCCUAUCUGCCGUGGGCGCUGGAGAACUGAGGGGGGCUGCUCCUAGUACGAGAGGACCGGAGUGGACGCAUCACUGGUGUUCGGGUUGUCAUGCCAAUGGCACUGCCCGGUAGCUAAAUGCGGAAGAGAUAAGUGCUGAAAGCAUCUAAGCACGAAACUUGCCCCGAGAUGAGUUCUCCCUGAGACUUUAAGUCUCCUGAAGGAACGUUGAAGACGACGACGUUGAUAGGCCGGGUGU
This 615-nucleotide ribosomal RNA is filed under the name Salmonella enterica subsp. enterica serovar Infantis. RNAcentral describes it as "partial 23S ribosomal RNA". It matches the Rfam family "Bacterial large subunit ribosomal RNA", at positions 2259 to 2868 of the family's 2925-position model. Lineage: Bacteria; Pseudomonadati; Pseudomonadota; Gammaproteobacteria; Enterobacterales; Enterobacteriaceae. The record is from RNAcentral.